CCUACGGGAGGCAGCAGUGGGGAAUAUUGGGCAAUGGGCGCAAGCCUGACCCAGCAACGCCGCGUGAAGGAAGAAGGCUUUCGGGUUGUAAACUUCUUUUCUGAGGGACGAAGCCAGUGACGGUACCUGAGGAGUAAGCCACGGCUAACUACGUGCCAACAGCCGCGGUAAUACGUAGGUGGCAAGCGUUAUCCGGAUUUACUGGGUGUAAAGGGCGUGUAGGCGGGAAUGUAAGUCAGAUGUGAAAUCCAUGGGCUCAACCUCUGGGCUGCAGUUGAAACUGUAGUUCUAGAGUACUGGAGAGGUAGGCGGAAUGCCUAGUGUAGCGGUGAAAUGCGUAGAUAUUAGGAGGAACACCAGUGGCGAAGGCGGUCUGCUGGACAGCAACUGACGCUGAGGCGCGAAAGCGUGGGGAGCAAACAGGAUUAGAUACCCGAGUAGUC
RNAcentral lists this ribosomal RNA (443 nucleotides) under uncultured bacterium. Its description in RNAcentral is "partial 16S ribosomal RNA". It matches the Rfam family "Bacterial small subunit ribosomal RNA", at positions 338 to 795 of the family's 1533-position model. The record is from RNAcentral.